AUACUUACGUGGCAGGGGAGAUACCAUGAUCACAAAGGUGGUUUUCCCAGGUAAAGGCUUAGCCAUUGCACUCUGGGAUAUGCUGACCCCUGCAGUUCCCCAAACGCGGAAACUCGACUGCAUAAUUUGUGGUAGUGGGGGACUGCAUUCGCUGUCUCUCC
RNAcentral lists this small nuclear RNA (161 nucleotides) under Echinops telfairi (small Madagascar hedgehog). RNAcentral's name for it is "U1 spliceosomal RNA (ENSETEG00000021203.1)". It matches the Rfam family "U1 spliceosomal RNA". Rfam says of the family: U1 is a small nuclear RNA (snRNA) component of the spliceosome (involved in pre-mRNA splicing). Lineage: Eukaryota; Metazoa; Chordata; Mammalia; Afrosoricida; Tenrecidae. The record is from RNAcentral.